UCUUCCAUCGGGUCCGCUCCCUUUGUGGUUGUCAUGGCGGCGGCUCCUCCUGCGCGGCCACUGACUGCGGCCAGGAGGCCGUGACAGGUGAACGGGGUCGGGCACGGCGGGGUUGCUCUGGGCAGUCAGCGCCCCCGCGACAUACAGAGAGCUCCUCCCCCCCAUGGCACCCCCGGCCCCAAGCCACCCCCAGACAGCUCCACCGCUGCCCCAUGGGCACCUCACCUCCCCCCACAGGCACUGCUCUGCCCCAACCCUCCCAUACACACAGCCCCCCACGUCCCUCAUAGACACCCCCCCACAGCUCCAAUACGGCCCCCGCGGUCCCCAUAGAUACCCCCACUGCCCCAGCCUGACACAACCCCCAUCCCAAUGGACAUCCCGCCCCUUGGGCACCCUGCACUGCUGGCACCCCUGCGCCCCCAUAGAUACCCCCUCCUGCCACCUGACAACCCCCACCUCUGUCCCCCAUGGUCACCCCUCUACCUCAGCCUGACACAAUCCCCGUCCCCAUGGACAUGCCCUCUCUGGCCCACAGCUCCAUAAUCCCCCCCCCACAUACACUGGCCCAGAGCUCCACAACGCCCCCCCCCCCCAAGAGCUCACAUAGAUACACCUUCCUACUGCCUUAGAGUUCUACAUCCCACCCUCAUGGAUUUCCUUCUAUCCCACUGCCCUAGAGCAGUGGUCUCCAAAGUGGGGUUCGCGCACGGGGGUGAGCGGCAGGAGGAGGAUUGUUUGUUUUGAUUUUUUUUUGCUUCGGCGCAGCGGGGGUGCGUACUCAAAAAUUUUUUACUGAUAGGGUGCGCGAUCAAAAAACUGUGGAGACCACUGCCCUAGAGGGCCAAAACCCAUCCCCAUGGAAAUCCCCUACUGCCCCAGAGCUCCAAAAUGUCUCACCCCUGUGGACCUUCCCUCCACCCCCACUGCCUGAGAGCACCUCAUCCCCAUGGACACCCCUGCCCCAGAGUUCCACAACACACCCAUAUCCAAAUAUUCCCUCUACAACACUCCUCCCUCAUGAACCAAAUACCUAGGAGAAAUGACUAGGUCCUCUGAGUUAUUUAGGUAUCUGCAAACCUAAAAGAUCCACUUCUACUCAUUUGAAAAAUAUGGAAUGAAGUCAUCAGGCAUGUCCUAACAAGGAACUAGGGAGAAGCCGGAGCUGCUUAAUCAGUACCAUUUUGAUACUGCAUGUGGUCUCAGGGAAGAGACUCCAUAGAAGAAUUAGUGCAACAACCCUACUAGAGAUGAAAAAAUACAUUAAAAGAUAAUUCUUCUGUGUUAUACAGGGCAGAUUGUGAACCCCUUACUCGCAAUGGUGAGCAGUACAAUUAGUCCCAUUAAGACCCAAAAGGAACUGUUUGGCACUCCUGAAAAUUCAUCUACUUAUUUAGGUAGGCCUAAAUAAGGAUUUUGGAGUUAACUUUAUGUAACACUUCCCCUCGUCCCCCUUUUUUUAAUCUUGACUGGAAUAUUUUAGUCCUGAAUCAUACUUUUAUAGCCACAAUUCAGGAAUGUGUGUCCUGCAUCUCAUUAGCUGUUGGACCUCUGAUUAUUCUUCAGUUUUCUGACAGUCAUCACACAGUGUCAAUUUGGGGCCCAAUUCUGCCACCUUUCUUUCUGUUAAGUAAUACUGUAUCUUACUCCAUUAAUAGUCUCAAUGAGUAAGGGUGACAGAAUUUGGCCCUUAGUUAUUAACAUUGCUAUCUUUUAGGUGUAACAUGAAAUAUUUCUUUUGGCUUUAAGAAUUGCAUGUUUCAUUUUUGUUGUGUAUAUAUAAGAAUAUGACCAUCUACCCAAAUCUUGCAUUUAACUGGUAUAGUGAAAUCCCCCUUUUUUUUUUUUUUU
Molecule: long non-coding RNA, 1851 nt
Organism: Malaclemys terrapin pileata
Lineage: Eukaryota; Metazoa; Chordata; Testudines; Emydidae
Exons: 2
Source: RefSeq, a predicted model, not a curated record